GAUGAACGCUGGCGGCGUGCCUAACACAUGCAAGUCGAACGGAGAUUACGGACGGAAGUUUUCGGAUGGAAGCCUGUAAUUCUUAGUGGCGGACGGGUGAGUAACGCGUGGGCAACCUGCCCUAUACAGGGGGAUAGCAGCUGGAAACGGCUGGUAAGACCGCAUAAGUCGGUUAAAUCGCAUGAUUUGAUCGGGAAAUGAGCAAUCAGGUAUAGGAUGGGCCCGCGUCCGAUUAGCCAGUUGGCAGGGUAAAAGCCUACCAAAGCGACGAUCGGUAGCCGGACUGAGAGGUCGGACGGACACACUGGGACUGAGACACAGCCCAAACUCCUACGGGAGGCAGCAGUGGGGGAUAGUGCACAAUGGAGGAAACUCUGAUGCAGCGACGCCGCGUGAGUGAAGAAGUAUUUCGGUAUGUAAAGCUCUAUCAGCAGGGAAGAUGAUGACGGUACCUGACUAAGAAGCCCCGGCUAACUACGUG
Molecule: ribosomal RNA, 481 nt
Filed under: uncultured bacterium
Lineage: Bacteria
Description: partial 16S ribosomal RNA
Rfam family: Bacterial small subunit ribosomal RNA
Source: RNAcentral